CCUACGGGAGGCAGCAGUGGGGAAUAUUGGACAAUGGGGGAAACCCUGAUCCAGCGACGCCGCGUGAGUGAAGAAGUAUUUCGGUACGUAAAGCUCUAUCAGCAGGAAAGAAAAUGACGUUACCUGACUAAGAAGCCCCGGCUAACUACGUGCCAGCAGCCGCGGUAAUACGUAGGGGGCAGGCGUUAUCCGGAGUUACUGGGUGUAAAGGGAGCGUAGACGGCAGCGCAAGCCUGCAGUGAAAUGCCGGGGCCCAACCCCGGAACUGCUCUGGGAACUGUGAAGCUGGAGUGCAGGAGAGGCAGGCGGAAUUCGUGGUGUAGCGGUGAAAUGCGUAGAUAUGAGGAGGAACCCCGGCGGCGAAGGCAGCUUGCUGCAGUGGAACUGACGUUGAGGCUCGAAGGCGUGGGGAGCAAACAGGAUUAGAUACCCGAGUAGUC
This 440-nucleotide ribosomal RNA is filed under the name uncultured bacterium. RNAcentral's name for it is "partial 16S ribosomal RNA". It matches the Rfam family "Bacterial small subunit ribosomal RNA", at positions 338 to 795 of the family's 1533-position model. The record is from RNAcentral.